Molecule: ribosomal RNA, 562 nt
Filed under: uncultured bacterium
Lineage: Bacteria
Description: partial 16S ribosomal RNA
Rfam family: Bacterial small subunit ribosomal RNA
Source: RNAcentral
UGGGGAAUUUUGGACAAUGGGCGAAAGCCUGAUCCAGCAAUGCCGCGUGUGUGAAGAAGGUCUUCGGGUUGUAAAGCACUUUUGUCCGGAAAGAAAUCCUUGGCUCUAAUACAGUCGGGGGAUGACGGUACCGGAAGAAUAAGCACCGGCUAACUACGUGCCAGCAGCCGCGGUAAUACGUAGGGUGCAAGCGUUAAUCGGAAUUACUGGGCGUAAAGCGUGCGCAGGCGGUUUGCUAAGACCGAUGUGAAAUCCCCGGGCUCAACCUGGGAACUGCAUUGGUGACUGGCAGGCUAGAGUAUGGCAGAGGGGGGUAGAAUUCCACGUGUAGCAGUGAAAUGCGUAGAGAUGUGGAAGGAAUACCGAUGGCGAAGGCAGCCCCCCGGGCCAAUACUGACGCUCAUGCACGAAAGCGUGGGGAGCAAACAGGAUUAGAUACCCUGGUAGUCCACGCCCUAAACGAUGUCAACUAGUUGUUGGGGAUUCAUUUUCCUUAGUAACGUAGCUAACGCGUGAAGUUGACCGCCUGGGGAGUACGGUCGCAAGAUUAAAAGCUCAAAUG